RNAcentral lists this ribosomal RNA (253 nucleotides) under uncultured bacterium. RNAcentral's name for it is "partial 16S ribosomal RNA". It matches the Rfam family "Bacterial small subunit ribosomal RNA", at positions 524 to 776 of the family's 1533-position model. The record is from RNAcentral.
UACGAAGGUGGCAAGCGUUGUCCGGAUUUACUGGGCGUAAAGAGCGCGCAGGCGGUCGUUCAAGUCGCGUGUGAAAGCCCCCGGCUCAACUGGGGAGGGUCACGCGAUACUGAUCGACUCGAAGGCAGGAGAGGGUAGUGGAAUUCCCGGUGUAGUGGUGAAAUGCGUAGAUAUCGGGAGGAACACCAGUGGCGAAGGCGGUUGCCUGGAGCUUUGCUGACGCUGAUGCGCGAAGGCGUGGGGAGCGAUCCGG